GACGAACGCUGGCGGCGUGCCUAAUACAUGCCAGUCGAACGCUUCUUUCCUCCCGAGUGCUUGCACUCAAUUGGAAAGAGGAGUGGCGGACGGGUGAGUAACACGUGGGUAACCUACCCAUCAGAGGGGGAUAACACUUGGAAACAGGUGCUAAUACCGCAUAACAGUUUAUGCCGCAUGGCAUAAGAGUGAAAGGCGCUUUCGGGUGUCGCUGAUGGAUGGACCCGCGGUGCAUUAGCUAGUUGGUGAGGUAACGGCUCACCAAGGCCACGAUGCAUAGCCGACCUGAGAGGGUGAUCGGCCACACUGGGACUGAGACACGGCCCAGACUCCUACGGGAGGCAGCAGUAGGGAAUCUUCGGCAAUGGACGAAAGUCUGACCGAGCAACGCCGCGUGAGUGAAGAAGGUUUUCGGAUCGUAAAACUCUGUUGUUAGAGAAGAACAAGGACGUUAGUAACUGAACGUCCCCUGACGGUAUCUAACCAGAAAGCCACGGCUAACUACGCG
RNAcentral lists this ribosomal RNA (508 nucleotides) under uncultured bacterium. RNAcentral describes it as "partial 16S ribosomal RNA". It matches the Rfam family "Bacterial small subunit ribosomal RNA", at positions 28 to 507 of the family's 1533-position model. The record is from RNAcentral.